UAGUUUCUCCAGUGGUGGUUCUUCCAUGGGAGUUGGGGGAUAGCUUUUGCCCCUGGGCCAGAGAGUUCUGUUUCUCACCUCCAAAGCUACCUUGGCUUGAACAAACAACUCAUUCCACCACUUUUGUGUUUUCUGCCAUUCCAGAAUUUGAUUUGAGCUUUUAUGUUAAGAUUCUUUUGAGGGAAAUGCUAGAUUGGCUCUUCUCCUAGAAGUCUACAGAGAACAAAGUGAAGCCGACCAAAUUGAAAUCAGAAUGCUGGGGUACUCUGAUGAGAAGAAACCUAUUGUUUUACAGCAUUAAUUGAAACAAAUUCAGCUCAGGGAACCAUCUAUCAAAUUCAGUUCAAAUAAGUGGAAAAAUGUCAGAUGUGAUGUGGGUCUUGUACUAGCAUUAUAUUUGAAAUGAUAAAUAACUUUGAAGCACAAUACUAGCUAUCUCUCUCAGAUAUGUUGGUGCCUUCAAAGAACCAUAAUUUCAUUUUUGUGAGCAUGUCUUCAACAGAUACAGAUCAAAACAUCUCCCCUUUUUCUCACAUGUCCUCUGUGAUAGAUACUCCUUGAAUAUCAUUUCCAAAGAAGUAAAAAUGAAGAUAAUCACACAGGACACAAUGGGAUGGUUCAUUGUUGGUGAUUAGACUACAAAAGGAAACCACUGAAGAACGUUGAAGAACAGGAGAAAAAAAUCUAUAAAUGAACUGUAAAAUAAGAAAUGAUAAUCAUUCAUGAAAUAAGUGCAAGAGAUGAAAGAUAAACAGGCAAAGGUAUUCUCUUGUAGCAUUGGGAUGUCAAGAAAAAGCCAGGAAGACCUUUACCUUCUUGGAUGAAGUUUAUGUGGUUAACUAAGAGGAAAAUAUGAGCAAGAUCUAAGAUAGCUAUUAUCAGGAAUGGAUGGGCAGUGAUCUCUAUAUUUGGACAGAACAACCAGAUACAAGGUCACAGAUCCAUUGAACUAUGAUUAAUCCUAGAAGCUUUUAUGCAAUUUAUUGUAGAAAUUCUUUUCUUGUUCUUUAAGUAUCUUGACUGUCAACAUUUUACAUAUCAUGAUAAGCUUCUUUUUCUUCUUUGGGAACAAGAAUACCUUUGCCUAAGGAAGAAGAAAAUACCAUGGAAUCUCUUUAAUAAGAUUUGUAAUCAAUAACGAGUUUGCCAAUAAGGUCCCCUCAAUUCUAUUCCCAUCAAUAAUCAAAUGAGAUAAGCUUACUAGGUCAAACUACAAAUGUAACAAGUGUAUAAAGAAUGCAUACUACAUAAAUUAUGACAUGCAACAGGAUGGGUACCCCAUUAAGUAAGUAAGUAUUCAUGUUAUUCUUCACAGGCUUCAUAGCAGGGCACUUCUGAAGAACAAUGAGCCAGACACAGAACUGAAAAAGUGGAAGGAAUUAGAUUGGCUUUCAUUUGGGAGACUACUUUAUUGCAAUGAUUACCAACUGCUCCCUGACACUUAAAUCUUUCUUUUGAGCAACAAUCUUCUCUCAGGGCUCCUAUUUUCCUAUAACACAUUUUUCAAACAAAACAGAAUUGUAGUAGCCCAAAAUAAACAUGAGAUGUGCAUAUUUAAA
Molecule: non-coding RNA, 1559 nt
Organism: Monodelphis domestica (gray short-tailed opossum)
Lineage: Eukaryota; Metazoa; Chordata; Mammalia; Didelphimorphia; Didelphidae
Source: RefSeq, a predicted model, not a curated record